GCCGCCCAAAAAGAUGGUAACAAGCAAACAUCAUUCUGUCAUUUCCUUUUGAUUAUUGGCCACUAAUUUCUCGUGAUUGAAGGUUGCCAUGUUCACAAAUUCAGGAACCUAGACUCCUUUUCAUCAAAAACGCGUACAGCCUUACUGUUUCCUUUUGUUCGACUCACUGAUUUUUCGAGAUUGAUUGACAUCUCAUUUCGCGUUUUCAUUUUGUGAUUGAAAUAUAUUGUUUCCAUACUUGCAUACGAAUCAAUCACAACCUUUUCCUUAUUUACAAGACUCGCGAACACUAUAUAAAUCGAACCAUCAUCACCGUUUUUCACACAACUCGACACCUACAAUCCCUCUCUACUCUCAUUCGAACCCCUUCACAUUCAUCGGAGAGUUACGAGACCUUGCCGGAGACAACCGGAGAGGAAGCUCGCAACAUCGGAGCCGUCGCCAGAACUCGAAUUCUCGCCGAAGUCGUUACGUCGGAACUCACGGCAUCCUUUUGUUUGGUAUACUUUCUUAAUUUUCUUGUUCCCUCGAUUUAGUCCACUGUUAGAAUAUGCUAACUUUGAUUUUAAACACCCGAGGAGUCCGACGCCCUCGGAGAAGACAACCAGAGCCUUUCGCCGGUAAUCGGAGGUUCGCCCGAGUAAAUCGAGACGCUGAAGGGUAACUAAGUUCGCUGGAGUUCACGAUGUUCGUCACUGUGCUCGGAUAAACGCUCUCGUUCGUUCUCUUGGAAUUCUCUAUCUUUACUCGUGCGUUAUUACAAGAAAUCGCAACGCAACCAAUGUUGAUGAUGACGAUGCUAUGAAAAGAAGUAGCGUUGAUGCCUAGAUACACAUAUAGACGUUUAGGUUUAAUAUGUUGUAUCAAUUUUGCUUAUGUUGUUAUGUAUUACUUUUGGAACUUGUUGUCAUUUGAGUUUAUGUAAUGUUGACUAUUUGAAGUUAUGAAAUGAAAUUGGGAUU
RNAcentral lists this long non-coding RNA (962 nucleotides) under Helianthus annuus (common sunflower). RNAcentral's name for it is "hypothetical non coding rna". The record is from RNAcentral. Lineage: Eukaryota; Viridiplantae; Streptophyta; Magnoliopsida; Asterales; Asteraceae.